GACGAACGCUGGCGGCGUGCCUAAUACAUGCAAGUAGAACGCACAGUUUAUACCGUAGCUUGCUACACCAUAAACUGUGAGUUGCGAACGGGUGAGUAACGCGUAGGUAACCUGCCUGGUAGCGGGGGAUAACUAUUGGAAACGAUAGCUAAUACCGCAUAAUAUUGAUUAUUGCAUGAUAAUUGAUUGAAAGAUGCUAUUGCAUCACUACCAGAUGGACCUGCGUUGUAUUAGCUAGUAGGUGAGGUAACGGCUCACCUAGGCGACGAUACAUAGCCGACCUGAGAGGGUGAUCGGCCACACUGGGACGGAGACACGGCCCAGACUCCUACGGGAGGCAGCAGUAGGGAAUCUUCGGCAAUGGACGAAAGUCUGACCGAGCAACGCCGCGUGAGUGAAGAAGGUUUUCGGAUCGUAAAGCUCUGUUGUAAGAGAAGAACGGGUGUGAGAGUGGAAAGUUCACACUGUGACGGUAUCUUACCAGAAAGGGACGGCUAACUACGUG
Molecule: ribosomal RNA, 505 nt
Filed under: uncultured bacterium
Lineage: Bacteria
Description: partial 16S ribosomal RNA
Rfam family: Bacterial small subunit ribosomal RNA
Source: RNAcentral